Molecule: ribosomal RNA, 433 nt
Filed under: uncultured bacterium
Lineage: Bacteria
Description: partial 16S ribosomal RNA
Rfam family: Bacterial small subunit ribosomal RNA
Source: RNAcentral
AACGAACGCUGGCGGCAUGCCUAACACAUGCAAGUCGAACGAGACCUUCGGGUCUAGUGGCGCACGGGUGCGUAACGCGUGGGAACCUGCCCUUAGGUUCGGAAUAACUCCCCGAAAGGGGUGCUAAUACCGGAUAAUGUCUUCGGACCAAAGAUUUAUCGCCUUUGGAUGGGCCCGCGUUGGAUUAGCUAGUUGGUAGGGUAAAAGCCUACCAAGGCGACGAUCCAUAGCUGGUCUGAGAGGAUGAUCAGCCACACUGGGACUGAGGCACGGCCCAGACUCCUACGGGAGGCAGCAGGGGGGAAUAUUGGACAAUGGGCGAAAGCCUGAUCCAGCAAUGCCGCGUGAGUGAUGAAGGCCUUAGGGUUGUAAAGCUCUUUUACCCGGGAUGAUAAUGACAGUACCGGGAGAAUAAGCUCCGGCUAACUCCGUG